AACGCGAAGAACCUUACCUGGGUUUGACAUCCCCGGACCGCCCUAGAGAUAGGGUUUCCCUUUCGGGGGCCGGGAGACAGGUGCUGCAUGGCUGUCGUCAGCUCGUAUCGUGAGAUGUCGGGUUAAGUCCCUUAACGAGCGCAACCCUUGUCCUUAGUUACCACCAUUUAGUUGGGUACUCUAAGGAGACUGCCGGUGUUAAACCGGAGGAAGGUGGGGAUGACGUCAAGUCCUCAUGGCCCUUAUGUCCAGGGCUACACACGUGCUACAAUGGCCGGUACAGAGGGUUGCCAACCCGCGAGGGGGAGCUAAUCUCAGAAAGCCGGUCUCAGUUCGGAUUGAAGUCUGCAACUCGACUUCAUGAAGCUGGAAUCGCUAGUAAUCGCGGAUCAGAACGCCGCGGUGAAUACGUUCUCGGGCCUUGUACACACCGCAUAC
RNAcentral lists this ribosomal RNA (438 nucleotides) under uncultured bacterium. RNAcentral describes it as "bacterial SSU rRNA". It matches the Rfam family "Bacterial small subunit ribosomal RNA", at positions 958 to 1397 of the family's 1533-position model. The record is from RNAcentral.